AUUGAUAGCACAAACAAGAUAUGGAAAAUGAAAUUAAUAUACAAUACCUUCUAAACGGACAUUGCCCAAAAGAUCUUGCAGAAGCAAAUCAUGAAGAUUUUCAAGUGUGGAAAGGAGAACCUUCCGGAGAAUAUUCAGUAUGAAGUGCUUAUAAACUAUUACAAGAUGCUAGCUUGAUUCCUAAUAGUUAUUUAAUACAGGCCGAAAUUAAAGACUUCUGCAGAAAAUUAUGGGAUUUAAAACUACCAUAAAAAAUUACAUUAUCAGUAUGGUAGAUCUCAUGGAAUUUUAUCCUUACACUAGUCAACUUUAGACACAAGCGACCACAAAUGUCAGAUGUCCUCAUUGUUUUGUCGGAGAAGAGGACAACCACCAUGUCUUUUGACAAUGCCCUACAAUCAUAGAAGUAUGGCAAAAUCUUAAUCUCUCUUGGGUCACAACUCAUAUAAAUCAUAAUAUCUGAGAGUGGCUAACCUGGGUUUUCAAAGAGGGUACCAAGGAACAGUGUCAAACUUUUUGCUGUACUUUAUGGUCUAUCUAGAGCUCAUGGAAUCAGCAUGUUCAUGAAGGAAAAACCAUUUUAGCAGAACUUGAAGAGGUACGAGAAAAAAAGCUCAACUUUAAUACUGAAAGAGUUCACAACCAAAUGGGAGGGACAACAAGUGUGAUGAUUCAGUUUGAUGCAACUUUUGACAACAGAAAUUCUAGAUCGGCAUCAGUUUCAGUGUUCGGGAUCAAAUGGAUGAGUUUAAAGCCUCAAAGACGACUCUUCAUUAUAACGUCUCAUCCCCGUUCACAGUAGAAACUCAUGCAGGUUUACAAGUCAUCAAGUUAGUAUCCUUAAUGGGUUUAACUUCAGCAACAAUAAUGGGAGACUCGAAAACAAUAAUCAAGAAAUGCCAAUAAACAAAAAUGGAUAAAUUAGUUAUUAGAGCGAUUAUUAGAGACAUUCAGAGUAAAAGAACUUGUCUUCAAGAGAUUUCUUUCCAGUUUAUCCACAGAUCAGAGAAUACUCGGGCCCAUAAACUAGCAAAAGAAGCAUUAGCAAAACUAGCGUACCUAGUGAGGGAAGCGUUGAACCACAGUGAUCUUGCUCCGAAAGGAAGAUGGAGAAUAAGGCUAAACUGAAAUUGUUUUGGGGAAGAAAUGAAGUAAAAGAUAGCAGGUAAAAGAAAUUUUUUGGGGAAAAGCUAUCUGUUGAACAGACGCGACUGUUGACAUGAAAAGAAGAAAAGAUAAAUGGUGUAUAGGCUAUUCGAUGUGACUAGGAAAAAGCAUUAGGUUUCCUUUUAUUAAUUAUUUCUUUAUUGCAUUAAUUGUUU
RNAcentral lists this long non-coding RNA (1322 nucleotides) under Gossypium barbadense (sea-island cotton). Its description in RNAcentral is "long non-coding RNA (GBAR_LNC009714)". Lineage: Eukaryota; Viridiplantae; Streptophyta; Magnoliopsida; Malvales; Malvaceae. The record is from RNAcentral.